GACGAACGCUGGCGGCGUGCCUAAUACAUGCAAGUAGAACGCUGAAGGAGGAGCUUGCUCUUCUGGAUGAGUUGCGAACGGGUGAGUAACGCGUAGGUAACCUGCCUGGUAGCGGGGGAUAACUAUUGGAAACGAUAGCUAAUACCGCAUAACAGUAGAUGUUGCAUGACAUUUGCUUAAAAGUUGCAAUUGCAUCACUACCAGAUGGACCUUCGUUGUAUUAGCUAGUUGGUGGGGUAACGGCUCACCAAGGCGACGAUACAGAGCCGAACGGAGAGGGGGAUCAGCCAGACUGGGACGGUGACACGGCCCAGAGUGCUACGGGAGGCAGCAGGAGGGAAUCGGCGGCAAUGGACGGAAGUCAGACCGAGAAACGCCGCGGGAGGGAAGAAGGAUGUCGGAUCGUAAAGCUCUGUUGUAAGAGAAGAACGAGUGUGAGAGUGGAAAGUUCACAGUGUGACGGUAUCUUACCAGAAAGGGACGGCUAACUACGUG
Molecule: ribosomal RNA, 495 nt
Filed under: uncultured bacterium
Lineage: Bacteria
Description: partial 16S ribosomal RNA
Rfam family: Bacterial small subunit ribosomal RNA
Source: RNAcentral